RNAcentral lists this ribosomal RNA (401 nucleotides) under uncultured bacterium. RNAcentral's name for it is "bacterial SSU rRNA". It matches the Rfam family "Bacterial small subunit ribosomal RNA", at positions 917 to 1322 of the family's 1533-position model. The record is from RNAcentral.
GGGCCCGCACAAGCGGUGGAGCAUGUGGUUUAAUUCGAUGCAACGCGAAGAACCUUACCAGGACUUGACAUACUACAAAUUCUUUUGAGAAAAAGAAGUGCCUUCGGGAAUGUAGAUACAGGUGGUGCAUGGCUGUCGUCAGCUCGUGUCGUGAGAUGUUGGGUUAAGUCCCGCAACGAGCGCAACCCUUAUUUUUAGUUACCAAUUCGUUGGGUUCUCUAGAAAGACUGCCGGUGACAAACCGGAGGAAGGUGAGGAUGACGUCAAGUCAGCAUGCCCCUUAUGUCCUGGGCUACACACGUGCUACAAUGGUUAAGACAAAGAGUCGCGAGCUCGCAAGAGUCAGCUAAUCUCAUAAACUUAGCCUAAGUUCAGAUUGUAGGCUGCAACUCGCCUGCAUG